Molecule: ribosomal RNA, 441 nt
Filed under: uncultured bacterium
Lineage: Bacteria
Description: partial 16S ribosomal RNA
Rfam family: Bacterial small subunit ribosomal RNA
Source: RNAcentral
CCUACGGGGUGCUGCAGUGGGGAAUAUUGCACAAUGGGGGAAACCCUGAAGCAGCGAAGCAGCGUGCGUGAUGAAGUCUCUCGGUAUGUAAAGCUCUAUCAGCAGGGAAGAAGAAAGACGGUACCUGACUAAGAAGCCCCGGCUAACUACGUGCCAGCAGCCGCGGUAAUACGGAGGGGGCAAGCGUUAUCCGGAUUUACUGGGUGUAAAGGGAGCGUAGACGGGUGUGCAAGUCUGAAGUGAAAGCCCAGGGCUCAACCCUGGGACUGCUUUGGAAACUGGGGAGCUAGAGUGCUGGAGAGGUAAGUGGAAUUCCUAGUGUAGCGGUGAAAUGCGUAGAUAUUAGGAGGAACACCAGUGGCGAAGGCGGCUGACUGGACAGUAACUGACGUUGAGGCUCGAAAGCGUGGGGAGCAAACAGGAUUAGAUACCCCUGUAGUC